RNAcentral lists this transfer RNA (75 nucleotides) under Pyrinomonadaceae bacterium. RNAcentral describes it as "tRNA-Arg". It matches the Rfam family "tRNA". Rfam says of the family: Transfer RNA (tRNA) molecules are approximately 80 nucleotides in length. Their secondary structure includes four short double-helical elements and three loops (D, anti-codon, and T loops). Further hydrogen bonds mediate the characteristic L-shaped molecular structure. tRNAs have two regions of fundamental functional importance: the anti-codon, which is responsible for specific mRNA codon recognition, and the 3' end, to which the tRNAs corresponding amino acid is attached (by aminoacyl-tRNA synthetases). tRNAs cope with the degeneracy of the genetic code in two manners: having more than one tRNA (with a specific anti-codon) for a particular amino acid; and 'wobble' base-pairing, i.e. permitting non-standard base-pairing at the 3rd anti-codon position. The record is from RNAcentral. Lineage: Bacteria; Pseudomonadati; Acidobacteriota; Blastocatellia; Blastocatellales; Pyrinomonadaceae.
GGCUUCGUAGCUCAAUGGAAUCAGAGCGCAGGUCUUCUAAACCUGAUGUUGCGAGUUCGAGUCUCGCCGGAGCCA